UCGUUCCUGGUUCGGGCGCUUUUCUCCCCACAUCGAGGCCCCAUACGAACCCGUGGGGGUUGGGCUUGUGAACUGAACGAUAUAUCGGGGGAAAUUUUCCGAAAGCUCGAUCGGAGUGCCAAUUGUAGCUGUAGCCGGCAGCAACGGCCAAUCGGCGUUGCCCCCUGGUCGGACAGGUGGGGGCUUAAGCGAACCGAGACUUAAAGCGAGGCCACUCGCCGUGGAGCUGUCAGAGCUCUGUGGGGCACGGUCACGCACGCAGCAGCCGGUCCUUUAGUUUUUCCGGCAUCCACUUCGUUGAUUGUUGGCUGCGAAUCGCGCAGCACUCUUCGCGAGCUUCUCUUACGGUUUUACGAUCGAUCAGCUGUAUUUGGGAUUGAUCUCAUCUAGUGAACAUCGACGAAUCGCUUCGUUCGGCAGCACGUACGAUCGAAGAUUUUCGAUAAAUCAGAGACGUGAAUUGAGGAGCAGACCGAUCCAGGAUACUCCAAGUGUCAGAAGUGCCUGCAACGCUCCGGUAGCUUUCGAAGGGAGCCGAGUAAGAAGAUAUGGCUCGGCAGUUGGACCCCACUGGUCUCUACUGAAGACGUUUUUCCCCGCGAUCGAGCAGCUACACACUUCCGCUUUCAGUGUUGCUGAGGAUCAUUAUCGUCGACAUGGCAAAAGGAUUGGACCCCACCGGUCUGUACUGAAAUGCCGACGAAUAACUGCGUUUCUUCAGGCUGUUCAUACAUCUUUCUGAAGGUGUUCAGUCAUAUAAAACAGUGCAUCAUGGCUGGACUCGAUCCAACCGGGCAGUAUUGAGUAGGUGAAGGAAGGUCGGGGAAUUUCCGGAAGGAAGCAGCAAAGUCACGAGAAACGCUUCAAGGUCGCGACAUGGCUGCUAUCGAGGGUCUGGAUCCGACCGGACAAUACUAAAUAUAGUAAAGUCUCCGAAACCCGGAGCGAAUCAUUUUAAUGCAUCGGUGGUAUCAGUCGACGAUGGAACAAGUGAGAGGAAAAGAGGAAGUUUCGUCCUCCACCCUGAGGAGACUGAGAUGGAGCAUCCAUAUUCGCAAAGGACGACAUCGGAUACUCCAUAUAAAUGUGAAAAGUCAAUAAAGAUGCCGAAUCUGCCUAAAUACAGGGAGCCGACCAGCAACAACAUCACUGCCGUCGAGUCGCUUCAUCGUACUUAGCUCCGAUAGGAAACACGAAGACGGUGAAGCCCACUCGACAAUGAAAGGACCAGGGAAUUUUACACUGCCAUGGAAAUUCGCCACCUAGUCGCUUCUUCUCUUCCUUCGUCUCGCCCGCGGUCUCUCGCGAAGGCACGCGACUCUUGAGGAGUGGAAGGCGGACAGCCAGGAGGAAUCGUGCUCGUUUUCGUCACGUUCGCGCCGUACACUGCCGAUUGUAACAUGAUUAAAUGCUAUUUUCCCCCUUCCUUCUUUUAUUUAUAUCAUGUGUUAAGAUAGCGUCACGCGGAUGCUAAGCGUCACGAGAAGAGCGACGCUUCAGCCUCGGUUAUCGCCGAGAGAACAGUCCUGUUGUUACUGUUUAACGCUACUUUAUUAUUACUGCUGCCGCUACUAUACUAGCCGCUACUGUCCGCCACCGGCCAGGACAUUUGCGCGAGCGAACAUCGCACCAUUACCGUUAUCGCUACACUAUCACCGGCUGUCACGAUAUACGGCCACCGUUACUGUAUCUUUCUUCUCUUACCUCGAGUUCCGAUGAUACCGCCGGACACCGGAUGUGGAAAAUAAUACAGAACUGAUUAUUCAAGAAAACUCGGUUUCUAUCUACGACGCGGCUUUUUAGUAUUCAUGUUAUACAAGUCGCUGAGAAUUAUGCAGCUAAAUUUAAACGAAACAUUAAAUCACGCACCGUCAAUGAGAUCGAUCUUCUCUGCACAGAGUUUUGCCGCAGAAGUUUUAUUUGCCGAUUUGUUUGUCGAUAACCGUUUCACAUAUCGCGUUAUCAAAAUGGAAGAGAAAUUAGAUAUGUCAGCAGAACAACUAGUUUUGGCGAAUUUCAACAAGUAAAUAUUAGAGCUUGUUUUUUUUUUAAGUAAUCAUUAUUUUAGCGAUAUAAUUUAGACAUAAUUGGUAAUAUUCAUUCUUGAAGUCAUUAAAGAUUUCAAAUUAGCUCAUUUUCACUAGGUUUUUUUCAGAUACAUCAUAUUCAAUUGAUUAGUAAUGUGUAAUGCUAAAAAUGAUACAAAAGGCUGCGAUAAAUGUAACAUGCUACUUUCAUAAAACAAAAAAAUUGUCUCCGAAUUAGUCGACAAAUCUGUUAGAUAUGGAAGUAGUAUAUGUAUGGAAUGUCAAAGUACGGAUGAUUAUUUGGAAUAAUUCGAGUUUUAAUCAAACAUUUUAUUUAGCAUUUUAUUUGGCAUUUUAUUUGAUUUUUUGUAACCACUUGAUAUGAAACAAAUAUAUACUUUUCAAAAU
Linepithema humile (Argentine ant) is the source of this 2435-nucleotide non-coding RNA. NCBI's taxonomy places the organism in Eukaryota, Metazoa, Arthropoda, Insecta, Hymenoptera, Formicidae. The record is from RefSeq and is a predicted model, not a curated record.